UCAAGACUUAUUGACUUGGAAUCGAUUUGAUGUCAUUUUAUUGUUGACAUGUUGCGACAUCUAUCGAAUUUUGACUGGCAAUGAAGCGCUUUCGUGAAUCGUAGGAGAAUUAUCCAUGAAAUGCGUGUCAUUUCUCAUUAUCAUGGUGUAGCGAUUCACCCGUUAUAAUCGAUUUGGCGUGAUUUUGGUUAAACUGACGUCAUAGAAAGUUUAGCCGCGGUGGUGGAGCAAGCCGCGUACAACCCGUCAAGCAAUACGAACUUGAACAUUGUUCCCAAAGUGAAAUCAGUGAAGUUUGGAACAAGCGAAAAAAAAAAAUACUAAAAAAUAACCUAAAAACAUCAAUAGCAUUGCUGACAUUUUAUUUGUAUAAAUGUUUAAUACAUUUCAAAUGAGGGUUGAAAAAGUUGAAAAUACUAAACAUGUGUUGAGUGGUUGGUUAUACUUGACUGAUAUGAGCCCACAACUGAACGACUGUGAACGAUAGAUAGAGAGUAGGCUGGCUGUAGGUAAUGCUUGUUCGAUGAACCAAUGCUUCUGGUGUGUUAGAGGCACAUUGAGAAAUACUGGGAUGUAUAUGAGAGGAUUGCAAAAGCAGCAGAGACGAUACGUACGCAUGUCGUGGGGCUUGGAAGGACAAGGACCGAUAGUGAGGCCAUCAGGAAGGAGGGAACAGCAGCCAGGAGUUGAUUGCGUCCGGCCGAGAUGAUUGCUUUUCGCGUGGCAAUUCGCACACACGGUCACAUGUUGGUUACUUCUCGCACACUGAGGCACGGAUUACAGGCUCAUAUACACGCGACACGGCAUGUACCCGAGUCCACUGUUUAUUCGUCUGGACCUGUGGUUACCUUCUAUUGCUGGAAAAUUACCUUCAUUUCUGCUAACGGCAACUAUAUACACCAAUGAAUCUGCUGCGAAAACUACUGGUGAAAUUCAAUCGCUAUGACGAAAUAACAAAAAGAUUGAUUGUACGAUAGAGUAUGAAAUAAAAAGUUAUUCAACUCAAUGGUUUUUGUCUUUGCAUUAACACCACUGCUGUUCAACUUAUUGCACUAGUGUUGCGAAAAAAUGCUUUUUUCAUGAGAUAAAGAAAAAAUGUAUUUUAUGCAGUUUAUGAAUUUCAACUUGGAUAAAAAAUUAUUUAAUAAAAGCAAGAACUGUAUUUAUGAACGCCUUGAAUAUUUUAGAGACAAUAGAGCAUAAAGCUAUGUCAUAUUAUUUUCGUUGUCCAACGGAAUUAAUUAUUCUGCUUGAACUAAUGUUCAAAAUAUACCAUUAAAGUUGGAGUUAAAUAGAUAAAUUAAUAUUUUUUUGUAUAUUAUUUUUGAUGGGUUGUCAAAUGAAUAUACUGGUGAAAGUUAUAAUAUUAUUCCUAGUUAAUGAAGGAAUUAAAUAUUAAGUUGAGUUGAUAAAUUAAUUUGAAAGAUGUAAAAUAAUUUAAAAUCUCUAUUACUACUUCGUUACACAAUUAAAAUCAUUUAAUUUAAUGUUGAGAUAGGACCAAGGUAAAAAUUUAAGGUCAGAUUUUAAUAUAAUUCACAUGAGAUUCACAUCUUAAUUAUUUUUUUUGGUUAUUUAAGCAAAUAAAAGCUUCAAGGGAAGCUUAUUAAAGCUCUUCAGAAAUAUACAACAUUAA
Molecule: long non-coding RNA, 1636 nt
Filed under: Chelonus insularis
Lineage: Eukaryota; Metazoa; Arthropoda; Insecta; Hymenoptera; Braconidae
Description: uncharacterized LOC118067274
Source: RNAcentral